UGUCUGCUCUGUAGCCAGUGACCUGACUUGAAAAGCUGGGUCAAUCGUUUUUUUUCUCAUAACCCUGAGGCUGUGAGGUCACGUAACAGGCCCAAGGCCCGACAGACAAGCUCGGAGAGACAAGUAGAAUGAUCAGGGAGCAGAGGUGAUGACGAGUCAGUAGUUACAGGAAACCAGUCAAUGACAGUAGAACGGAGUGGGGAUGCUGAGAAAAACAGAGAUAUCCCAAGAAAGAAGAAAUCAACCAUCUGAGAGGAAGCUCACAAAUCCCGCCUCCAUUCCUGUUCCAGUUCAAGUCAAGCCUGCUGGAACACGUUGCACUCCUGGACCGAGGUGACUUGUUUGGAUGAACCCUUGUCCCACAUGGCAGACUUUCAGCUUUUUCAGAUUUUAAUUGUACUAAGGACUUGCCAUACAUAGAUGGUAGAAAAACAAAACCCACUGCCAUGGAGUGAAUUCUGAGUCGAAAAGUGACCCUACAGGAGAGAGAAGAACUACUCUGUGGAGUUUCCAGGACUAUCAGUAUUCACAGGAGAAAACAAGCUCAUGUUUCUUCCAAAGAA
This is a long non-coding RNA of Echinops telfairi (small Madagascar hedgehog), 563 nucleotides long. RefSeq lists it as uncharacterized. The transcript is spliced from 3 exons. Lineage: Eukaryota; Metazoa; Chordata; Mammalia; Afrosoricida; Tenrecidae. The record is from RefSeq and is a predicted model, not a curated record.